This 255-nucleotide ribosomal RNA is filed under the name uncultured bacterium. Its description in RNAcentral is "partial 16S ribosomal RNA". It matches the Rfam family "Bacterial small subunit ribosomal RNA", at positions 524 to 776 of the family's 1533-position model. The record is from RNAcentral.
UACGUAGGGUGCAAGCGUUAAUCGGAAUUACUGGGCGUAAAGCGUGCGCAGGCGGUUUUGUAAGCCAGAUGUGAAAUCCCCGGGCUCAACCUGGGAAUGGCAUUUGGGACUGCAAGGCUGGAGUACGGCAGAGGAGACUGGAAUUCCUGGUGUAGCAGUGAAAUGCGUAGAGAUCAGGAGGAACACCAAAGGCGAAGGCAGUGUCCUGGGGGAGUACCUGACGCUCAGGUGCGAAAGCCAGGGGGAGCGAACGGG